RNAcentral lists this ribosomal RNA (343 nucleotides) under uncultured Gammaproteobacteria bacterium. RNAcentral's name for it is "bacterial SSU rRNA". It matches the Rfam family "Bacterial small subunit ribosomal RNA", at positions 1026 to 1369 of the family's 1533-position model. Lineage: Bacteria; Pseudomonadati; Pseudomonadota; Gammaproteobacteria. The record is from RNAcentral.
ACUCUGAGACAGGUGCUGCAUGGCUGUCGUCAGCUCGUGUUGUGAAAUGUUGGGUUAAGUCCCGCAACGAGCGCAACCCUUAUCCUUUGUUGCCAGCGGUUCGGCCGGGAACUCAAAGGAGACUGCCAGUGAUAAACUGGAGGAAGGUGGGGAUGACGUCAAGUCAUCAUGGCCCUUACGAGUAGGGCUACACACGUGCUACAAUGGCAUAUACAAAGAGAAGCGACCUCGCGAGAGCAAGCGGACCUCAUAAAGUAUGUCGUAGUCCGGAUUGGAGUCUGCAACUCGACUCCAUGAAGUCGGAAUCGCUAGUAAUCGUAGAUCAGAAUGCUACGGUGAAUAC